Molecule: ribosomal RNA, 423 nt
Filed under: uncultured bacterium
Lineage: Bacteria
Description: partial 16S ribosomal RNA
Rfam family: Bacterial small subunit ribosomal RNA
Source: RNAcentral
AAUUUUCGGCAAUGGGGGCAACCUUGAUCCAGCCAUCUCGCGUGUAUGAUGAAGGCCUUCGGGUUGUAAAGUACUUUUGGCAGAGAAGAAAAGGUAUCUCCUAAUACGAGAUACUGCUGCAGGUCUCUGCAGAACAAGCCUCGGCUCACUACGUGCCAGCAACCGCGGUAAUACGUAGGGUGCAAGCGUUAAUCGGAAUUACUGGGCUUAAAGCGUGUGUAGGCAGUUCGGAAAGAAAGAUGUGAAAUCCCAGGGCUCAACCUUGGAACUGCAUUUUUAACUGCCGAGCUAGAGUAUGUCAGAGGGGGGUAGAAUUCCACGUGUAGCAGUGAAAUGCGUAGAUAUGUGGAGGAAUACCGAUGGCGAAGGCAGCCCCCUGGGAUAAUACUGACGCUCAGACACGAAAGCGUGGGGAGCAAACAG